Eublepharis macularius is the source of this 6429-nucleotide RNA transcript. It is a transcript of the gene named nucleoporin 214, with no coding region annotated. The transcript is spliced from 37 exons. Lineage: Eukaryota; Metazoa; Chordata; Lepidosauria; Squamata; Eublepharidae. The record is from RefSeq and is a predicted model, not a curated record.
GUGGCUGCGCGCGGCGGAGCCUGUCAGCGGCGGCUGAGGCGCCACCAUGGGCGACGACAUGGAUCUCAUCCCCGAGCGGGAGAUGAAGGAUUUUCAAUUCAGAGCCCUGAAGAAAGUCCAGAUAUUUGAAGCCCCUGAUGAGCUCCCGAAAGACCGUUCCAGUCUCCUUGCUGUGUCAAACAAAUAUGGAUUAGUCUUUGCUGGCCGGGCAGCUGAGGUGCAGAUCUUUCAAACGAAAGACCUGCUGCUGCAAAAUGAAGCAGGGGAAUCUCCCAAUAAAAUUGUGGAGAACGUCCAGAGUGUUCUUGUGCCCAUGAAGUUCCCAGUGCAUCAUUUGGCACUCAGUUGCGAUAAUCUCAUAAUUUCUGUCUGCAUGGCGUCCAGCGACUGUGGGUCUUUCAUCGGCUUUUUUGAUGUCCGUACUUUUGCUAAUCAGUCUAAACAACAGAAGCGUCCCAUCGCUUUUCAUAAGCUGCCCAAGGAAGCGGGCAGCAUGGCACUGGUCAGCGACCUGAAGUGGAACCCUGUGAAUCCUUCCAUGCUGGCCCUCUGUGUCUCCGAUGGCAGCGUCUGCGUCCUGCAGGUCACAGACACCGUGAAGGUGCACGCUACUCUUCCCGCCUCAGUGGGUGCGACGUCAGUGUGCUGGAGCCCCAAAGGGAAGCAGCUGGCUGUGGGCAGACUGAACGGCACAGUGGUCCAAUAUCUGCCUAACCUGCAGGAGAAGAAAAUCAUUCCUUGCCCUCCAUUCUACGAGGCUGAUAAUCCAGUGAAAGUCCUGGAUGUGUUGUGGGUAGGCACUUACGUCUUCACGAUUGUAUACGCAGCUGCAGAUGGGACUUUGGAGACUCCGCCCGAAGUGGUGAUGGUUGUGCUUCCGAAAAAAGAAGAAAAACGACCGGAGAGGUUUGUCAACUUUAUGGAGCCCUGUUACAGUAGCUGCACCGAGAGGCAGCAUCACUACUUCCUUAACUAUGUGGAGGACUGGGAUCUGGUCCUAGCAGCUUCUGCGGCUUCCACAGAAGUCAGUAUCCUCUCAAGACAAGGAGACCAGAACAACUGGGAGCUGUGGGUUCUGGAAGACUCCAGCCGGGCAGAACUUCCUGUAACAGACAAGAGCGAUGACACCUUGCCUGUGGGUGUGGCCAUAGAUUACACCAGCAGCACGCCCAUAACCAUUAGUGAGGAGAAGACCAUGGACCCAGCUCCAGUCCUGCUGCUGCUUUCUACCGAUGGAGUGUUGUGUCCCUUUUAUAUGGUCAAUGAAAACCCUGGUGUGAGGUCACUCCUUGUGACACCAGAGCCUUUGCCAAUGGAAGGGGAUAGAACGCCAAAGCUGCCAGGAAGUACUGCUGCUUCAUCUACGACUCCUUUUUCUCCUCCAAAGGCCGAAACUGCCCCGGCAGGAGCUGCUGUCCUUGCCCCAGCUGUGUCUUCAGUCGCUGGUGGUGGGGUGGCCACUUUCUCUUUUGCAUCCUCUGUGUUAAAACCAGCCGGGCCAGCUCCAGAAGCCCCCCUGCCCUAUUCCUUCCCCUCGGAGCCCUCGAAGCCUGCCUCUUGUCCCAGCCAGAGUGGACCAGCUGGGUUCUGCUUCACAUCCGGAGCAUCUAACAGAGCAGCCUCAAAUCCAGCCCUCUCAGCCAGUUUGGCUCCAGCCUCUGCCGGCUCCUUCUCUUUUGGCUCUGUGUCUUUUCAAACUGGGGCAGAUGCUUCAGCUGGGCCUCCGCUCACGGCCUCCCCCGUCGGGCUGAAGCAAAGUUUUUCCUCCGCAGCUUCGUCCGUCAAGGUUAAUCUUGCCGAGAAGUUCUCAGCUGUGGAAUCUGCCCUGCCCUCUGCCAGCAUCGGUCAAAGCUCCACCAUGUUCUCCUUUACGCCGAAGCCUACAGGGCCUCUGAGCCAGUCCACUCCUCUCUCUGCUCCUGCUGCCUCGUCGGCCAAGGUUUCCACCCCUGCGGCUGCAGCAACCGUGCGUCCUGCUCAGAGUGCCUCCGCUGUCCCUGGGGUCCAGAAAGCAGCCAAGACUUCUCCGACUGUAUCAAAGACGGGCUCUUCACAGGGUCGGCCAAUGUCUAGCAGUGCCGGGAUGGAGAAGCAAGUUCAUCAGUGGAAGGAUUCGGACCCUGUCAUAGCAGGGAUAAGGGAGGAGAUAGCACAUUUCCAGAAGGAGAUGGAAGAACUGAAAAGUCAGACAGCCAAAGCCUCGUUCCAGGUGGGUUCUGAUGAGGAAAAGAAGAUGCUGAAGACAGAAUCAAAUGACCUCCACACCUUCCUCUUGGAGAUCAAGGAGACCACGGAGUCCCUUCAUGGAGACAUCAGCCUCCUGAAGACGAGCCUCCUGGAAGGAUUUGCAGGUCUGGGGGAAGCGAGAGAGAAAGAGGAGCGAACCCACAGCUCUGAGUAUUUGCACCUGCUAUAUAAGAAGCCUCUGGAUCCAAAGAGCGAAGCCCAGCUUCAGGAAAUCCGACGCUUGCAUCAGUACGUGAAGUUUGCUGUUCAGGACGUGAACGAUGUUCUGGAUUUGGAAUGGGACUGGCAUCUGGAACAGCAAAAAAAGCUAAGACGCUUAAUGGUGCCCGAGAGAGAGACUUUGUUCAAUACCCUCACUAAUAAUCGAGAGAUAAUUAACCAGCAGAGGAAACGGCUGAAGAACUUGGUGGACAGCCUGCAACAGCUUCACUUGUACCAGCAGACCUCGCAGUGGAACCUCCCUCAUGACUCCUCCGCCCACAGCAGCGUCCAGAGCCUUGACAGCGAACUUGAAAGCUUGGGUAACGCCUUGAUGAAAUUUACCAUGGAAUCUUGCCCCAAGAGUUUGCCCAAAGGACCCGCGAAAUUGUCCCCAGUGAAGCAGGCGCAACUACGGAAUUUCCUGUCCAAAAGGAAGAUGCCGCCCAUAAGGUCAACAGCUCCAGCAAAUCUCUCCCAGUCGGCUUUCCUGUGCCCGAGGAAUGAUGAAGACUUGGACGAUGUUAGCUCCACAUCUUCGGUUCCUCAGGCCCCAGAGAAUGAAGAUUCUCAAGCAGUGGAUCAAGAGGAAGAGCUGGCCGUCCCGAUCCAAGUGCCCCGCCAUGCCCCUGUUGUCCGAACUCCUUCGGUUCAGCCCGGGCUCAUGCCGCAGCCCUUGCCUGUUGGCAAAGCCCACCUUUCAAUGAACGCUUUGAUAUCCACCCCCAAAAUCAUACCCCAAGGGGCAGACAGCACCAUGCUGGCCACGAAGACUGUGAAGCAUGGGGCCCCCGCCCCGUCUGUCACUAUCCCAGCGCCUCAGGCAGCGGCAGAAGCUGCUCUGCGGAGACAGAUGGCCAACCAGAACCCAGCUGUGAGCACUUCUUUGACUGAGUCCACUUUGAAGAAUGUCCCUCAAGUGGUGAACGUGCGAGAACUAAAAAACCAUGCCUCUCCUCCUGCCAUCGCUACAGUAACAGGAUCAUCAGUUCCUCAGUCCACAACUCAAGUUACACACCAGGUUUUGACUGUGACUGCUACAACCCAAGCCAACCAGGUUCCUCUGGCAGGUUCCCUUACGAUGCAACCUCCACCCACCUCAACAUCCCCAUCAGGUGUCGUCACAACAUCCACCAGUCCAACAACUUUGGGCAAAAAGAACUCAGGGACAACGAAGACCGCUGUGUCCGUCACCUCGUCUGCUGCAGCUCCUACCCCACCGACUCCUGCCCAGUUCAGCAAGGCAUUUGCAUUUCACUCCUCAGGCAUCUUCCUUGGGGCAACUCGCUCUCAUCAUUUGCGGCCUGGAUUUAACUUUGCCGCAGUUCCCUCAAGCCCUGCAAUGCCUGGCCCAGCUUCUGCACAAGCACUAACCACCCCUGCAAAAGAAUCAAGCCAGCCUGAUCCAUUUUCCCUCGGCGGCAAUGCUAAAUUUGGAACUGUUUCAGAGAGCCCAUUUGCUUUUGGAUCCACAAAACCAUCCAGCCUUUCAGGAGCUUCGGUGACAAGCAGUGGCUCUGGAGAUCCCAGCCAGGUGAAUAGCCAAGCAGUCACAGCUGCAACUUCUGUUUCCUCCACAACCUCCACCAAAUUGGAGAACCUUCCGUUGAAACAUGGAGACCAGGUGUUCCAGGGCACUGCCGCCGGAGAGACGCUUGGGAGUUUCUCCGGCCUUAGAGUGGGCCAAGCAGAUGAGAACGCCAAGGCCGCCCCUCCCAAACUCCCAUGUGCUACUACGGCAAGCGGACCCCUGCCGAAAGCAACUGCGGUGCCUUCUGGAUUCACUAUUGGAAGCUCUCUGCAAGUAGGCAAACCAGCAGACGCUGCUGUGACCUCAGGCACAACCACCAGUUCACCGUCUGUAGCAGUCGGCGCAGGCACCAUCUUUGGCAGUGUCCAGUUAGUCAAUACGGGGGCUUCUGGUGUCUUCAGCAUGGGAGCAUUGCCAGGUGGCAAUAAGCCACCGUUUACAUUUGGCAUCCAACAAGCGAAUGCUCCGGUGGUAUCGUCCUCUCUCUCGACGCUGCCUGCAGCCUCGCCAGCUCUCUCAUUUGGAAGUCUGUUGAGUUCAGCAGCAGCAGCAGCAGCUGUCCCUCCUGUGCCCCCUGGUAAAGGAGAGGCAGAUGCCAGAACCACCCCAGCACCUGAAAAGCCAUCUCCAAACCACGCAGUUCUGCCUGGAGCGGCACAGCCACAAGGACAGGCCCCGGAGCUUCCUCAAGAGUCGCCUUCUCAAGAGUCGCCGUCUCCAAGAGCGGAAGAUGUUGUCAGCCCCGCUUGUGCUUCAGCGGCACCCACUGGAGUUUCCACCUCACCGUCCAGUGAUUCGAAGGCAGAGGCGCCUCCGCCGGUCUCCGCUUCUGACCAGCAUGCUUCGGUGACUUCAGCUCCAGCGAACAUAACCUUGCAGCCCACAGAUGCUGCCAACACACCGCCCUCUUCCUCCAGCACAAGCACAUCCCUCCAGGUACCGACCACAGGGACGUUGGCAUUCACAGUUGCUGCCGCAAGCCCUUCCAUGUUCGUACAGCCCCCCGUUUCCAGUUCUUCUAGCUCAGCAUUCAGCCAGCCUGCGACAGACGCUGGGGCUAGCCCCACCACACCCCCAGUCUUUGGCCAGCUCUCUGCAGCUACUACGGCAUCUUCUCUGUUUGGCCAGCCUGUUCCCACACCAGCCUCCGCCUCCACUGCCAUUACCCAGGGAGCAGCAACUGGAUUUAACACAUCUGCUUUUGCUGCGGCAAGUACCACGGGCUUUGGCCAGCCAGCCUUCGGCCAGGCCCCGGCCUUUGGCCAGCCAGCGAGCACGGCAAGCAGCUUCACUUUCAGCCAGACGGCUUUUGGGGCAACUCCCACUUUUGGCCAGGCUGCUUCCUCCACCACUCCGGCUUCCAGCAGCGGGCAUGUUUUUGGCGUGCCAUCCAGCACAAGCACCACCAGUUCCUUCUCUUUCGGACAGCCCUCUGGCACCACAGGUGGUGGGCUUUUUGGCCAAAGUAGUACACCAGCUUUUGGACAGAGUUCCGGUUUUGGCCAAGGAGGGACAGUCUUUGGUAGUGCGGCUGCUACCACCCCGACAUCUUCCGCUGGCUUCAGCUUCAGUCAAGCUUCAGCAUUUGGUUCCAGCAAUGCAGGUUCUGUGUUCGGGCAGGCAGCCAACACCGGCAGCAACCUCUUCGGCCAGCAGCCCUCUCCCAGUGGGGGCCUCUUUGGUUCUGGAAGUGGGGGAAGAGGAAUGGCCUUCUUCAGCGGGCUGGGAGGAAAGCCAAGCCACGAUGCGGCAAAUAAAAAUCCAUUCAGUUCGGCUGGCCCAGGGUUUGGAUCCCCAGCCACCCAGAAUACAUCGAGCCUUUUUGGAAACAGCGGAGCCAAGACCUUUGGGUUUGGUACUUCCCCCCCCUCUUCCUUUGGCGAGCAGAAGCCAGCGGGCACGUUCAGCUCCGGCGGAGGGAGCGUGGCAUCUCAGGGCUUCGGGUUCUCCAGCCCAACUAAAGCAGGUGGCUUCGGAGCUGCUCCAGUGUUCGGCAGCCCUCCUACUUUUGGGGGGUCCCCUGGGUUUGGAGGGGUGCCAGCAUUCGGUUCAGCCCCAGCCUUUUCAAGCCCUCUGGGCUCGACGGGAGGCAAAGUCUUCGGCGAGGGGACAGUGGCAGCCAACACCGGAGGAUUUGGUUUUGGCGGCACAGCCAGCACGGCAUCUUUUGGCACGUUGGCAAGUCAGAACACCCCUACUUUUGGAUCCCUGUCCCAGCAAUCUCCCGGGUUUGGCUCUCAGGGCAGCGGAUUCUCCGGCUUUGGGUCCAGUGGAGGAGGCUUUGGCUUUGGAUCAUCAAAUGCGUAAGUUCUUACCACUGCCUCGUGCCUUUCUUUGAGUGUGAAAGGAAGCAUCUUUGGGGGUGAAAGAUCAACCUCUGGGUUCAGUGGCUGGAGAAGCUGAGGAGAAGCCAAACCGUUUCGCCCUGUUGUCAGAUGAACCGGGACCCUCCU